AUGGUGAUCAGGAUGCAGGCGAGCUCCGACAAGGGCCAGCACUCCAAGGCCAUGAAGAUCGCGGCGGCAAUCGACGGAGUGGAGUCGGUGACGCUGGCGGGGGAGGGGCGGAACCUGCUGCGGGUGGUCGGCGAGGGCGUCGACUCCAACCACCUCACCAGCAGGCUGCGGCGGAAGGUGGGCCACGCCGACAUCGUCGAGCUGCGCACCCUGCAGGCGGGCCGCGGCUACGCGAGCGCCACCAACGCUGCCGCCGGAGCCGGCUACCACUCUUCGCAGGCCGCGGGCGCGGGCGAACGCGGGGACGCUGCCGCCUAUGGGGGGUACAACAGUUACACUACGGCCGGCUACUUGCCGGUGGCCGCCGAUCAGUACCACCGCCAGCAGCAGCAGCCGUCGUACGAGUACGAGUACUACCCGCCGGCGCCGUACCCUGCCACCGUCGUCCACCACGAGUACACGACCGGCGAUCCGACCGGCUGCUCCAUCAUGUAG
Molecule: ribosomal RNA, 495 nt
Filed under: Triticum aestivum (bread wheat)
Lineage: Eukaryota; Viridiplantae; Streptophyta; Magnoliopsida; Poales; Poaceae
Description: partial small subunit ribosomal RNA
Source: RNAcentral